This 251-nucleotide ribosomal RNA is filed under the name uncultured prokaryote. RNAcentral describes it as "partial 16S rRNA". It matches the Rfam family "Bacterial small subunit ribosomal RNA", at positions 525 to 775 of the family's 1533-position model. The record is from RNAcentral.
ACGGAGGCUGCGAGCGUUAUCCGGAUUUAUUGGGUUUAAAGGGUGCGUAGGUGGACUGUUUAGUCAGUGGUGAAAUGCUGAUGCUCAACGUUAGCAUUGCCGUUGAAACUGACAGUCUUGAGAGUGAUUGAGGCAGGCGGAAUGUGUGGUGUAGCGGAAAAAAGCAAAAAUCCCAGCAAGACAAACUAUGGCGAAGGCACCUUGCAAAGCCACAACUGACACUGAAGCACGAAAGCGUGGGGAUCAAACAG